This 2921-nucleotide long non-coding RNA is filed under the name Mytilus galloprovincialis (Mediterranean mussel). Lineage: Eukaryota; Metazoa; Mollusca; Bivalvia; Mytilida; Mytilidae. The record is from RNAcentral.
AUUAUUACAAAACAAUUUACUUCCACAAUAUCAUAUGUAUUUGGUACUUAUAAAACAACAAUAAUAAUUAAGGUAUAAAUCCACAAGUAAAUGAAAGCAUAAAUGUUUCUUUCAUUGUACAGCAAAAUAGACGUUCAACAAUUAUAUCUUUACAUGCAUUAUACAUUUAGGAAUAUCAUCUUAUGUUGAUAACAUCAUGACCAGCACAAUGUGAUGUUGCAGUAAUGGAAACUAUAAAUUCAUGAAGAAAAGUUUCAUGUGAUGUACUUUUCUAAUGUUUUUAUUUCAAUGAAUUCUUCUUCAGUUUCUCUUGUAUUCAAUAUCAAAUUUAUAGCAUUAAUGAAAAUCAUGCACAGUUUUGCACACCUAUUAAGUUUCUAAGUAUAUAUCUUAAAACUAUAUUGUUAUAAUUAUAUUGAAUGAAAUGAAAUCUAUUGCAACAAAACCAUAAAAAAGUAUUCUAAAAACUUGUUUCAAAGGGAAAAUAAGAGCAUUCAAAUUUGUUUUAGUAAAUGAAAAAUGAGACAUCGCUAAAUUUAAGAAUGAUGGCUGCUUUUUAUUACUAAUAGCCAAAUACCAAUCAGAAACUGUAUUUGUUUGAUCAGAAAAAUUCUUUCCUUCCCAUUUCCACUAUCAUAUAAGUUUAAAUCAUACACAAGUAAAGUAAGAUGUAUGGCUGUCAAUGCCCAAAACUUUCAACCAGAAACCAAUUGUCAGUUUUUUUUCGAUUAUAUUAUAGAAAAGUUUUGCACAUAAAGACAAAUUUCAUGGCAGAGAUACUGAAAUAAGUUUCUCUACAUAAUCGACAAAAAGUCUUUAAAAGAGAAUAUAGCUGGCAAUAGUAUCAAGACAACAGGAAAAUCAUUUCAACUGCAUAAAGAAGGUUAAAGUUAAAACACAGAUAUGUAUGAUUUUUUUACCUCAUCACAAACUUAAAACAAUUAUUAAAGUCAGCCACAAUAGCAGCAAUAUAUGAUGCGUUUAUUUUGAUACAUAUUUUUUGUACCAUUGAUUAAUUUAUUUCUUUGGUUUGUGGCAGGAAAAGAAAUAAGGUUACCUAAUUUUGAGAUUAAUGAUUUGCCUCUUUCAUGACAACUUAAAAUUACUUCUAUGGCAACUAAAAAUCUGUACUUCAAAGUCUUUUCAAAUUCGAUGUUUUGCUCUACCUACGAAACCAUCAAAAAUUUGGUAAAUCACAAAAAUUUAUGAAUCAACAUUGUUUUAGCAGAUCUUAAUUAUUAUUUGACACAAGUGGGUUAUACAAUCAUCAAAUGUAAAUAAGAUGAUGUUAUUUUAUCAUAUAUGUCUGUGUAAUUCUUCACUAAUUGAAGGGGCAAUCUUUUAUGUUGCACCUAUUUGUCCCAAAAAAAAUCAGAUUGUCUUUCAUUAAUAAGAUAUUAAAUUGAAGUGUUCAAGAUCAAAACAUCAUGGAUUUAUUUUCUCCUAAAAUAUUUAAUACCACAAACCAGUUCUGAUCAAGCACCUUAUAUAAUCUUCUGUAGGACUAAGGGGUUCAAGAACAAAGAUAUAAGGAUUAACCUUUGCCAAUAUUUUUUGCUGGUUGACUCCAAAAUUACUCUUCUCUUUGUUCAUGACCUGAUUUUUAUUGAUUUUACUGCAGUGGUAAAUAUCAAAUGAAUAUUCACUUCCAAAAUAUGAAAUGCCCCUUUAAAGUAGCAUUUGCAGAGUAUUUAUGUUUACAUAACAGCAGUAAACUAAAAAAAAAUCAAAAUGUAACACAGCAUGAAAGACAUUUACUCAAAUCCUGUUGUUAUCUAAAAGGAAAUAAUAAAACAAUCUUAAACAAUCUUCACCAGUAAAGAAAAAUAGUCAACAACACAAAAUAUAUAAUUAAUCUACAGUGAGUAAACUUAACAGGUGACAAAAGAAACAGAUCUAUCAUAAUUAGCAAUCAAAAAAACAUACUUUGGACUGAAAAAGACAUUUCAUUGUAGACUAACUAGUCUAUAGUCAGAAAGUAAAAAAAGCAACAAGGCGAAAAAGCAUACAAGGAUAAAAAUAUCUUCUUCAAAAUAACAAAUGAAAAUCUUUUACAUGCUACUAAUUGAAAACCUAUGCAUAUAUAUCAGAUAAUGAAAGCUAAGUUUAUCUAUAAACUUCUUCGUUUACACAGUCUAAGUUUUGUAAAAAUCUCUUUUAAAACAAAGACUCUUGAAGAGGACUCCUAGUAGAUUAUUUCCAUCUUUCAAGUUAAAAUACAAAAAUCAUUUAAAAAAAAUUGUUUUCGACGGGACGACCAUUAACUUUUUUAUUUAUCAUAAUUGACAUAAUUGAUGACACUAAAACUUAUCUUGGGAUCAGUCAGUGACAAAUAUUACAACAAGUGACUUAACAAAAUAUUAUUGUGAAUAGUGCCAGCAAAACUCUAAGACAAGCUAUUUGUAAUUUUUCAUGAUCAAAGUCUUAAAUGGAUUUUGUUUCCUCAAUCCCUACCAUCUUUUGUUUCACUACUCAUUAUAUACAAUACUAGUUGAUUUUUAUAAGGACUUUUGUAAAAUUGAAUUUCAAACUGUAAACACAUUUCCAAUGGAGUGAAGCUGCUACUUUAUUUUAGUAGCUGGAAAUAUCAUGUAUAAUGGGUUUUUUUCUUGUAUGUUUUUUUGUUGUAUAUUUAGAAAAUUGUGUUUGCAUCUAUAAAUGGGAUAUUAGAAGGAAAUAUAAAAUUAUGAGAUAAGUUAAUGCCAUUUCAGUAACUUCUGAAUAUAAAUAAUGCUAUCAAAUCAGAAUUUCAACUUUUAUUCAUGCUGAAGCAUUCAUUGCAAUGUUCACUAUAAUGAAAUUUUGACUAAUGUUCGAAAUUGAUUUAAGAAAAAAUGUUAAUUGUGAUUUUAUUUAAAUCCCCUUAUGGAUAAUUUAUAAACAUGAUAUCUAAUUGCAACCCUAUUUAAAUUCAGUAAGCU